CCUACGGGUGGCAGCAGUCGAGAAUCAUUCACAAUGGGGGAAACCCUGAUGGUGCGACGCCGCGUGGGGGAAUGAAGGUCUUCGGAUUGUAAACCCCUGUCAUGUGGGAGCAAAUUAAAAAGAUAGUACCACAAGAGGAAGAGACGGCUAACUCUGUGCCAUCAGCCGCGGUAAUACAGAGGUCUCAAGCGUUGUGCGGAAUCACUGGGCGUAAAGCGUGCGUAGGCGGUUUCGUAAGUCGUGUGUGAAAGGUGCGGGCUCAACCCGCGGAGGGCAGCUGAUACUGCGAGACUAGAGUGAAGGAGGGGGAAGCGGAAUGCGCGGUGUAGCAGUGAAAUGCGUAGAUAUCGAGAGGAACACUCGUGGCGAAGGCAGGUUCCUGGACAUUAACUGACGCUGAGGCACGAAGGCGAGGGGAGCGAAAAGGAUUAGAUACCCUAGUAGUC
Molecule: ribosomal RNA, 446 nt
Filed under: uncultured bacterium
Lineage: Bacteria
Description: partial 16S ribosomal RNA
Rfam family: Bacterial small subunit ribosomal RNA
Source: RNAcentral